AUUGAACGCUGGCGGUAGGCCUAACACAUGCAAGUCGAACGGCAGCACAGUGAUUGCUUCCUCUUACGGGUGGCGACUGGCGGAUGAUUGAUGAAUACAUCCCUAGUUACUUGUUCUUGGGUUAGGACUUAGGGAAUCUUACUGUAUUACCGCAUAGGACCUACGUGUGAAAUCUGCGUAUCUUCGGACAUUACACGAUCGUAUGUGCCGAUGUCGGAUUAGCUAGUUGGCGGGGUAACGGCCCACCAAGGCGACGAUCCGUAGCUGGUCUGAGAGGAUGAUCAGCCACACUGGAACUGAGACACGGUCCAGACUCCUACGGGAGGCAGCAGUGGGGAAUAUUGGACAAUGGGCGAAAGCCUGAUCCAGCCAUACCGCGUGUGUGAAGAAGGUCUUCGGGUUGUAAAGCCCUUUUGUUUGGAAAGAAAAGCAGCAAGUUAAUACCCCGCUGUUCUGACGGUACCAAAAGAAUAAGCACCGGCUAACUUCGUG
Molecule: ribosomal RNA, 492 nt
Filed under: uncultured bacterium
Lineage: Bacteria
Description: partial 16S ribosomal RNA
Rfam family: Bacterial small subunit ribosomal RNA
Source: RNAcentral